GAUGAACGCUGGCGGCGUGCCUAAUACAUGCAAGUCGAGCGAACGGACGCUGAUCUUGCUUCUUUGAUGUUAGCCGCGGGCGUGUGUGUCACACGUGUAUCACCUACCUGUCUGACGGGUAUCACUUCGAGAAUCCGGCGAUUAUCCCGUAUGAUCUUUUGCUCCGCAUUGUUCAAUAGUGAGAGACGGUCUUGCUGUCUCUUAUAGCUGCAUCCGCGCUGCAUUAGCUAGUUGUUACGGUCACGGCUUACCAAGGCAAGGAUGCCUAACCGACCUGAGAGGGGGAUCGGCCACACGGGAACUGAGACGCGGACCAGACGCCUACGGGAGGCAGCAGUAGGGAACGGUCCGCAAUGGGGGAAAGCCUGACGGAGCAACGCCGCGUGAGAGAUGAAGGUCUUCGGAUCGUAAAACUCGGUUAUUAGGGAAGAACAGAUGUGGAAGGAACUGUGCACAGCGUGACGGUACCUAAUAAGAAAGCAACGGCUAACUACGUG
RNAcentral lists this ribosomal RNA (497 nucleotides) under uncultured bacterium. RNAcentral's name for it is "partial 16S ribosomal RNA". It matches the Rfam family "Bacterial small subunit ribosomal RNA", at positions 28 to 507 of the family's 1533-position model. The record is from RNAcentral.